GGCCUUGACAUGCUGAGAACUUUCCAGAGAUGGAUUGGUGCCUUCGGGAACUCAGACACAGGUGCUGCAUGGCUGUCGUCCGCUCGUGUCGUGAGAUGUUGGGUUAAGUCCCGUAACGAGCGCAACCCUUGUCCUUAGUUACCAGCACGUAAUGGUGGGCACUCUAAGGAGACUGCCGGUGACAAACCGGAGGAAGGUGGGGAUGACGUCAAGUCAUCAUGGCCCUUACGGCCAGGGCUACACACGUGCUACAAUGGUCGGUACAAAGGGUUGCCAAGCCGCGAGGUGGAGCUAAUCCCAUAAAACCGAUCGUAGUCCGGAUCGCAGUCUGCAACUCGACUGCGUGAAGUCGGAAUCGCUAGUAAUCGUGAAUCAGAAUGUCACGGUGAAUACGUUCCCGGGCCUUGUACACACCGCCCGUCACACCAUGGGAGUGGGUUGCUCCAGAAGUAGCUAGUCUAACCUUCGGGGGGACGGUUACCACGGAGUGAUUCAUGACUGGGGUGAAGUCGUAACAAGGUAGGCGUAGAUGA
This 533-nucleotide ribosomal RNA is filed under the name uncultured bacterium. Its description in RNAcentral is "bacterial SSU rRNA". It matches the Rfam family "Bacterial small subunit ribosomal RNA", at positions 977 to 1509 of the family's 1533-position model. The record is from RNAcentral.